Phacochoerus africanus (Common warthog) is the source of this 457-nucleotide long non-coding RNA. RefSeq lists it as uncharacterized. The transcript has 4 exons. NCBI's taxonomy places the organism in Eukaryota, Metazoa, Chordata, Mammalia, Artiodactyla, Suidae. The record is from RefSeq and is a predicted model, not a curated record.
GUGCCAAGCUUCCACCAGCAACCCUCCUCAAGCCCUGGGCCUAGCCCUAACCCUGUGCGCUUCCUUACCAGAUAGCAAAAGGGAUGGGUCUUCUCUCCCCAUACCGGAAAAGCAAGCCGACACCCUCCAAGCUGUACUAUUACUAAUGGGAGACAAGCUUGAACCUGAAAUCCCUGAAGAAAGUCCACAGAAGAUCUAGGUGAAAAUGGAAACAUCUUCUCAAGUUGAUCUCAGCCCUCUUUGAUGUCCCCUGAACUCUGAGGACUCGAAAUUACCAUCCAGCAGGAAGGACGGGGCUCCUCUGGGGGCUGAGAAUUGUGAAAGAGGAGGAAAGAAACGAUGCCCAGAGAAGAAUGGAAUGUAUGGGGCAGGGGAGAACAGUGUUCGAGUACCAGUUGGCCUCUGUCCCAAUCUUCCUGAAGUCUGGCCCUGAAUAAAACCAAUAAUAACAAACACA